UACGUAGGGUGCAAGCGUUAAUCGGAAUUACUGGGCGUAAAGCGUGCGCAGGCGGUUUCUUAAGUCAGAUGUGAAAGCCCCGGGCUUAACCUGGGAACUGCGUUUGAAACUGGGAGACUUGAGUGUGGCAGAGGGGGGUGGAAUUCCACGUGUAGCAGUGAAAUGCGUAGAUAUUGGGAGGAACACCUGCGGCGAAGGCGGCUACCUGGACAGAAACUGACGCUGAGGCGCGAAAGCUAGGGGAGCGAACGGG
RNAcentral lists this ribosomal RNA (253 nucleotides) under uncultured bacterium. RNAcentral describes it as "partial 16S ribosomal RNA". It matches the Rfam family "Bacterial small subunit ribosomal RNA", at positions 524 to 776 of the family's 1533-position model. The record is from RNAcentral.